ACGCUUCUGCCACCGGGUAGAAAAUGCGAUAAAGCAUUUGUGUGCACAUCGUUAGGUCUUAGAAGAUGGGCACGCGGAUGUUUAUUUUUU
RNAcentral lists this non-coding RNA (90 nucleotides) under unclassified sequences. The record is from RNAcentral.